CAUUNCACGUUUUCCGCGCCGUAGCUAACGCAUUAAGUGCCCCGCCUGGGGAGUACGGCCGCAAGGCUAAAACUCAAAGAAAUUGACGGGGGCCCGCACAAGCGGCGGAGCAUGCGGAUUAAUUCGAUGCAACGCGAAGAACCUUACCAAGGCUUGACAUAUACUGGACUGCGUCAGAGAUGGCGUUUCCCUUCGGGGCUGGUAUACAGGUGGUGCAUGGUUGUCGUCAGCUCGUGUCGUGAGAUGUUGGGUUAAGUCCCGCAACGAGCGCAACCCUCGUUCUAUGUUGCCAGCACGUGAUGGUGGGGACUCAUAGGAGACUGCCGGGGUCAACUCGGAGGAAGGUGGGGAUGACGUCAAAUCAUCAUGCCCCUUAUGUCUUGGGCUUCACGCAUGCUACAAUGGCCGGUACAGAGGGUUGCGAUACUGUGAGGUGGAGCUAAUCCCUAAAAGCCGGUCUCAGUUCGGAUUGGGGUCUGCAACUCGACCCCAUGAAGUCGGAGUCGCUAGUAAUCGCAGAUCAGCAACGCUGCGGUGAAUACGUUCCCGGGCCUUGUACACACCGCCCGUCAAGUCACGAAAGUUGGUAACACCCGAAGCCGGUGGCCUAACCCUGGUGG
This 620-nucleotide ribosomal RNA is filed under the name uncultured bacterium. Its description in RNAcentral is "bacterial SSU rRNA". It matches the Rfam family "Bacterial small subunit ribosomal RNA", at positions 830 to 1449 of the family's 1533-position model. The record is from RNAcentral.